AGCAGCCGCGGUAAUUCCAGCUCCAAUAGCGUAUAUUAAAGUUGUUGCAGUUAAAAAGCUCGUAGUUGAAUUUCGGAAUCAGUACGCUGGUCGUGCCUUAGGUAUGCACUGGUGUCACUGGUUUCUCCCUUCUGACGAACCGUCAUGCCAUUAAUUUAGUGUGGCGGGAAAUCAGGACUGUUACUUUGAAAAAAUUAGAGUGUUUAAAGCAGGCUCACGCUUGAAUACAUUAGCAUGGAAUAAUGAAAUAGGACGUUUGAUUCUAUUUUGUUGGUUUCUAGGAUCGACGUAAUGAUUAAUAGGGGAUAGUUGGGGGGCAUUAGUAUUCAAUUGUCAGAGGUGAAAUUCUUGGAUUUAUUGAAGACUAACUACUGCGAAAGCAUUUGCCAAGGAUGUUUUCAUUAAUCAAGAACGAAAGUUAGGGGAUCGAAGACGAAU
RNAcentral lists this ribosomal RNA (438 nucleotides) under uncultured Glomeromycotina. RNAcentral describes it as "SSU rRNA". It matches the Rfam family "Eukaryotic small subunit ribosomal RNA", at positions 569 to 1009 of the family's 1831-position model. Lineage: Eukaryota; Fungi; Glomeromycota. The record is from RNAcentral.